CCUACGGGGCGCAGCAGUGGGGAAUAUUGGACAAUGGGGGGAACCCUGAUCCAGCGACGCCGCGUGAGUGAAGAAGUAUUUCGGUAUGUAAAGCUCUAUCAGCAGGGAAGAAAAUGACGGUACCUGACUAAGAAGCCCCGGCUAACUACGUGCCAGCAGCCGCGGUAAUACGUAGGGGGCAAGCGUUAUCCGGAUUUAUUGGGUUUAAAGGGUGCGUAGGCGGACGGUCAAGUCAGCGGUAAAAAUGCGGUGCUCAACGCCGUACAGCCGUUGAAACUGGCAGUCUUGAGUGGGCGAGAAGUAUG
Molecule: ribosomal RNA, 305 nt
Filed under: uncultured bacterium
Lineage: Bacteria
Description: bacterial SSU rRNA
Rfam family: Bacterial small subunit ribosomal RNA
Source: RNAcentral